GACGAACCGUGCAAACGUUGUUCGGAAUCACUGGGCUUAAAGGGCGCGUAGGCGGGCUCGCCAGUCAGGGGUGAAAGCCCACAGCUCAACUGUGGAAGUGCCUUUGAUACUGCGAGUCUCGAGGGAGGUAGGGGCGUGCGGAACUUCCGGUGGAGCGGUGAAAUGCGUAGAUAUCGGAAGGAACACCGGUGGCGAAAGCGGCGCGCUGGACCUCUUCUGACGCUGAGGCGCGAAAGCGUGGGGAGCGAACAGG
RNAcentral lists this ribosomal RNA (253 nucleotides) under uncultured bacterium. Its description in RNAcentral is "partial 16S ribosomal RNA". It matches the Rfam family "Bacterial small subunit ribosomal RNA", at positions 524 to 776 of the family's 1533-position model. The record is from RNAcentral.